This 228-nucleotide unclassified non-coding RNA is filed under the name [Borrelia] lusitaniae. Lineage: Bacteria; Pseudomonadati; Spirochaetota; Spirochaetia; Spirochaetales; Borreliaceae. The record is from RNAcentral.
AGCUGACUUAUACUAAUUACCCGUAUCUUUGGCCAUAUUUUUGUCUUCCUUAUAAAACCCUGGUGGUUAAAGAAAAGAGGAAACACCUGUUAACAUUCCGAACACAGAAGUUAAGCUCUUAUUCGCUGAUGGUACUGCGAGUUCGCGGGAGAGUAGGUUAUUGCCGAGGGUUUUUUAUUUUAUACUUCAAAUCUUGAAUUUAUUUUUUAUGUUUUUUAAAUGUUCAUU